RNAcentral lists this ribosomal RNA (103 nucleotides) under uncultured bacterium. RNAcentral describes it as "partial 16S ribosomal RNA". It matches the Rfam family "Bacterial small subunit ribosomal RNA", at positions 1382 to 1482 of the family's 1533-position model. The record is from RNAcentral.
CGUACACACCGCCCGUCCACCACCAUGGGAGUUGGUUUGACCUUAAGACGGUAUGCCAACCGCAAGGAGGCAGCCGGCCACGGUCAGGUCAGCGACUGGGGUG